Molecule: long non-coding RNA, 1696 nt
Filed under: Strigops habroptila (Kakapo)
Lineage: Eukaryota; Metazoa; Chordata; Aves; Psittaciformes; Psittacidae
Description: lncRNA (ENSSHBG00005013260.1)
Source: RNAcentral
AUAUUGGUCAGUUUUACUUACUUAGGUACAUGAAUGCAUUCUGAGUUUAUGAAAUGCUCUGCUGAGAAAUCCCAUCAUACUUAGCAGUCGAAGGAUCAAAGGCAAAAGGAACCAAGCCCAUGUAGUAUUGUGCUGUGUCUCUUAUAGCUCUCCAUGAUUUACUAACCUGAAGUAGAUCAAAACAGAAAAGAAUAUUAUGAGCUUUGAUACUGAAUAAAUACAGUUUGUGACUACUGAGCAACCUUGCCUGCACUGAUAAACCAGAUUUCCCCCUUUGACCCAAGGGGUUACUGUUCAGUGUUAAUCCCAAAUCUGUUUUGUUUUGGUUUUGUUUUGUUUUGUUUUGUUUUCAAUAGGUGCUGCAAGAUGAUGGAAGUAAAUACCCGUUCAGCCACAGUGUGUCCCCAUGCAUUCUGGCUGCUGCUUGGGUCCCAGUAGUUCUGAGAAAAUAGUAUCUGUCGUUUAAGUCGUAUAAAUUGAUUUGCUGAUUCUUCUGUCAGAAAAGGUGCUCCAAGGACACCUGGAAAGGAAGCUGAGAAAUAUUUGUAAUAUCAGAAAAAUAUUUUAGAAUGUUCACUUCAAAAAACAUACUUAUACCCAAAGAGCAGGACCUGUAGUUUAACAGAUAACAAAGAUGUUCCUACAUUAGAUCUUCAGAAUACUUCUUUUUUUUAAGCCUGAAGUUAAUAAACCAGCUGCUAUAAAUCAUUAUUUUGCUGUUGAAUCCAGAGUAAAUAACGUUACAAUCAAAUUAAGACACUAAGUUAUUUUUAAUACAAGAUGUCGUGACUGAAAAGAAACUUGGACUGGAUUUCACUAGUCUCCAGUGUGCUGAGAAGCCUGAAGUCGGUUGGUUUUUCUUUUAAACCCAAAACCUAUCCAUAAAUUUAACUAUGCUUUCUAAAGCUCCUAGUUUAGAUGUAGUAAUUAUUCUCAUUAGUAGCAGAAGAGAAAUUGCAUGUGUAGAAGUUAGUCUAAAGAGUAAAAGAUAUUGCAUUUCUAAUCUUGUUAUUGUACUGCUUUAGACAGCUUUCGAGUUCACCCCAGAUGCUGAAGUACUUCUUGUAGAUCUUGAAAUAAUCAUCCUGCUCAAGGAAAAUGGCUCAAUUCCUCACUAACUUUGUAUGAAAGGCCCUGCUACAGGAUAAGUCUUUUCUUUUAAUGAACCACUGAUUAAGUUGAAACUUGGAUACAUAAGUCAAGCUGAGGCCAAUGUCUGUAAACAGCUGUGCUCCAAUUUAAUGAAGUGGUUUAAACGCACACCUGAGUGUGACCUGCACAUACUUGGUACAGUUGGGCCAAGAACUUGAACCCUUGUCUAUUGUGUUCUACAAUGGGAGCUCCGCAGGGCAAGCUAUUUUCUCACUGCCAGCUCUCCAAUGCCCUUAUUCCUGAAUCUGCAGGGGGAAAAUCCUAACUCAGAAUGUUGAAUGUUUGCUUUUAUGUACAAUGCUUAGCUGAAUCCAAUUCACUCACUAUUAUUGCUAGCUUUCCUGAUCAUCAGCAAUAUGGUUGCUCUUUAUUUUUUUAAAUAGACGAAAAUGUACACUGAAUGCAUGUAAGUAGCAGAUACGUGAGUUAGAGUAUUUGCUGAUCCUUUUCACUUUGUUUCUUUUCAAAGCCAAAAAAUGCUUGAAAAGAAAGUGAGAAAAUGCUUGAUUAUACAGUAAUGAGCAACAACAAAAAAAAAAAAAAA